AGGAAACAAGUCUUUUAAUUACAAAAUAGCGUUACUUUUAAACUGACAACUGAAUAAGGAAAGUAUGGUUUUACCUUGCUGACAUGUUCCGACUGCAUCUGCAGAAUUCAGAGUCAUCGAUGUGCGAUGACGUGUAGUAAGAAACGACAAAUGAACAGAAUCCAACUUUCAAUUAUUGCAUUUAUUCAUGUUACACCAGAUAUUUCAAGAUUACAGUUAUAUUUAUUGAUAAAAAAACAACUAGCUUUAUUUAUAUUAAAAAAAACAUUUUGUUAAUGGAAAAAACAUUUAAAAGUGUAAAUUUCUGAAAAUGAAGCUAUGGCAGUGUUUCAUUAACAUUUUUCUCAUGAGGGUUUUUUUCUGCAACACCUGACUGUUACAGACUUUAAGUUUACGACAUCUAAAAGGUCCCUGAAGAAAUUUCGUGUGUGCCGACAGAACAAAGACAGUCAACAUUUAUAAGAUCUGAAGUCACUGGAUGGCACCUGAACAGUACGGUUCAGCCACAGGACAUGGUGGAGGCCGGCUAGGUGGUGGUGCUAGAGGCGCCCGAGGAUGUCAUGGAGGUCAGCUGGGUUGUGGUGGUGGUAGGGGCGCUCGAGGAUGUCGUGGAGGUCGGCUGGGUCGUGGUGGUGGUAGGGGCACUCGAGGAAGUCGUGGAGGUCGGCUGGGUCGUGGUGGUGGUGGUAGGGGCGCUCGAGGACGUCGUGGAGGUCGGCUGGGUCGUGGUGGUGGUAGGGGCGCUCGAGGAUGUCGUGGAGGUCGGCUGGGUCGUGGUGGUGGUAGGGGCGCUCGAGGAUGUCGUGGAGGUCGGCUGGGUCGUGGUGGUGGUAGGGGCGCUCGAGGACGUCGGCUGGGUCGUGGUGGUGGUAGGGGCGCUCGAGGACGUCGGCUGGGUCGUGGUGGUGGUAGGGGCGCUCGAGGACGUCAUGGAGGUCGGCUGGGUUGUGGUGGUGGUAGGGGCGCUGGAGGACAUCGUGGAGGUUGGCUGAGUCGUGGUGGUAGGGGUGCUUGAGGACGUCAUGGAGGUCGGCUGGGUCGUGGCAGGGGGACUCGAGGACGUCGUGGAAGUCGGCUGGGUUGUGGUGGUGGCAGGGGGGCUCGAGAACAUCGUGGAGGUCGACUGGGUUGUGAUGGUGGCAGGGGGGCUCGAGGACGUCGUGGAGGUCGGCUGGGUUAUGGUAGGGGGGCUCGAGGACGUCGCGGAGGUCGGCUGGGUCGUGGUGGUGGUAGGGAGGCUCGAGGACGUCGUCUGGGUGGUGGCCGUCGUGCUUGGUGGCUCGGUGGGGCAGGUGACUGUUGUGGUGUCCUUAUGGGGAUCGCAGUCACUCAUGGGGUGGGGUUCAAGUUCCAUAUGAGGCCCUUCAGGAAUAUUGUUUAAUCCCCACAAAUCAAAGAUCUUUGAAUCAUCAUCUAUCCCCGGGAUGAUUACAGGAACAAGCAUGACAGUUGUUGUUGUUUCCUCGUCCUCACAUGGAGGUUCCACGGUUCCCAUCAUUUCAGCCUCCUCAGUCCCCUGUGUGGGUUCUACACUGAAUGAAUCAUGAGGAUUCACCCCCCAGUCCCACUGGUCCUGGUGUUGCAGAGCUCUGCGCCGACGAUCCCGCGCAUCUCCUCUGGCUGCACUGAAACAAGCCGCCAGCAUCGUGGACAUCUCCCCAGCCGAGUCCAAAUAGAUCACUUCAAACAUGGAGUCCUGCACAACAUUCAGCCAUUAGUUCUCCACCCAACUAUGACAAACUGGAUGGUGGAUCACUCCAUCCUUACCUUGUCUGCCGGUGUGGAGAUCUGCACCAACACUGGCCCUGGAGUAGUGGUGGUCUGCACCCUCCCAACCACCACAUCUUUCCCCAGAGCCUUCACCUUCUGCAGUCUGCUUCCCUGAGGCAGUUUCACAGCCACUUCUGUGCUCCUGCAGCUCACCGCCGGCAGGGUCCACGUUGCAGGAUCCUCACAGGCGACCACAGCCGUCAUGUUCUCCCGCAGCAGGUGGUCGAAGUAACGCAGCUUCAACUGGUGGAACCACGUUCCAUUUGAAACCUGUGGAACAGACCAAGUCGUCACCAGGCAACAGUUUGUCAUUAGCUGGAGAACAUCCAGGAGUUCCACCGUUUCUGGUGCCUUUGGUCUCCAGUCU
This is a long non-coding RNA of Amphiprion ocellaris (clown anemonefish), 2137 nucleotides long. Lineage: Eukaryota; Metazoa; Chordata; Actinopteri; Pomacentridae. The record is from Ensembl.